CGCCGAGAUGACGGGCACUCGCGCAGCGCAUAAACGCGACGGCGCGGCGCUGGUACGGUUUCUGGCGUGGAUCGACAAGGAAGCACCGAGCGGUAAACUUACCGAGAUCGACGCCGUCGAAGCCCUGGAAACCUUCCGCCGCGAAACCGGGGUGCUGAAAGACGUGUCUUUCCCGACGAUUUCCGGCACCGGCCCGAACGGCGCCAUCGUGCAUUACCGCGUCACCCGCAAGUCCAACCGCCNGCGCCGGGCGACCUGCUGCUGAUCGAUUCCGGCGCGCAGUAUGAGGACGGCACCACCGACGUC
This 306-nucleotide unclassified non-coding RNA is filed under the name Hevea brasiliensis (rubber tree). The record is from RNAcentral. Lineage: Eukaryota; Viridiplantae; Streptophyta; Magnoliopsida; Malpighiales; Euphorbiaceae.